AGAAUAUAAUAUAAGUAGGGUUGCUAAUCUUAAUUUUUUGAUUUAAUAAUCAAUAUAUUUUU
RNAcentral lists this transfer RNA (62 nucleotides) under Echinoderes svetlanae. RNAcentral's name for it is "tRNA-Ser". Lineage: Eukaryota; Metazoa; Kinorhyncha; Cyclorhagida; Echinoderidae. The record is from RNAcentral.